Molecule: non-coding RNA, 385 nt
Organism: Meleagris gallopavo (turkey)
Lineage: Eukaryota; Metazoa; Chordata; Aves; Galliformes; Phasianidae
Source: RefSeq, a predicted model, not a curated record
GGGUUAGCACUUUGGGGGUUAGUUUUGUUUAGCAUUGUUGUUAACAAUCAAGCCCACGUGCAAUUAAUUAAGUGAUAAUUGCUGAAAGAAAUGUUCCUCAUUUACUGAUGUUAACAAGUUGAUGCUAAUAUGUUUGAGCUAGUCAAUCCGGUUUCUAAAAUAAUUUUCCUGGAUUCAUUUGGAUGCCUAGCUGAAUCCAGCAGUGUUUGUCUGCAGAUAUGUCCUGCCAAGAAACAGCCCAUCUGGAUGCACUUGUGAACUCCGGAUAGAUAUCUUCUGUUUCCUGUCAUUGUUAGGAAGGAGAAUGCUCCAAUGGCUAGAUGAAGAUUGUGUAUUUUUAGACGUUACUUGUAGUUCUAAUAAAUUAGGACGCUAUUUACAGCAA